Molecule: ribosomal RNA, 429 nt
Filed under: Pseudomonadota bacterium
Lineage: Bacteria; Pseudomonadati; Pseudomonadota
Description: Proteobacteria bacterium partial 16S ribosomal RNA
Rfam family: Bacterial small subunit ribosomal RNA
Source: RNAcentral
UGGGGAAUAUUGGACAAUGGGCGAAAGCCUGAUCCAGCCAUGCCGCGUGUGUGAAGAAGGACUUCGGAUUGUAAAGCACUUUAAGUUGGGAGGAAGGGCAGUAAGCGAAUACCUUGCUGUUUUGACGUUACCGACAGAAUAAGCACCGGCUAACUCUGUGCCAGCAGCCGCGGUAAUACAGAGGGUGCAAGCGUUAAUCGGAAUUACUGGGCGUAAAGCGCGCGUAGGUGGUUCGUUAAGUUGAAUGUGAAAGCCCCGGGCUCAACCUGGGAACUGCAUCCAAAACUGGCGAGCUAGAGUAGGGCAGAGGGUGGUGGAAUUUCCUGUGUAGCGGUGAAAUGCGUAGAUAUAGGAAGGAACACCAGUGGCGAAGGCGACCACCUGGGCUCAUACUGACACUGAGGUGCGAAAGCGUGGGGAGUAAACAGG